GCUCAGGAUGAACGCUAGCUACAGGCUUAACACAUGCAAGUCGAGGGGUAGCAGGGUAGCAAUACCGCUGACGACCGGCGCACGGGUGAGUAACACGUAUCCAACCUUCCCAUAACUCAGGGAUAGCCUUUCGAAAGAAAGAUUAAUACCUGAUAGUACUUAUUUAGGGCAUCCUAUAUAAGUUAAAGAUUUAUUGGUUAUGGAUGGGGAUGCGUUCCAUUAGAUAGUUGGUGAGGUAACGGCUCACCAAGUCUUCGAUGGAUAGGGGUUCUGAGAGGAAGGUCCCCCACAUUGGUACUGAGACACGGACCAAACUCCUACGGGAGGCAGCAGUGAGGAAUAUUGGUCAAUGGGCGAGAGCCUGAACCAGCCAAGUA
RNAcentral lists this ribosomal RNA (377 nucleotides) under uncultured Bacteroidales bacterium. RNAcentral describes it as "bacterial SSU rRNA". It matches the Rfam family "Bacterial small subunit ribosomal RNA", at positions 22 to 398 of the family's 1533-position model. Lineage: Bacteria; Pseudomonadati; Bacteroidota; Bacteroidia; Bacteroidales. The record is from RNAcentral.